AACGAACGCUGGCGGCAUGCCUAACACAUGCAAGUCGAACGAUCCCUUCGGGGAUAGUGGCGCACGGGUGCGUAACGCGUGGGAACCUGCCCUUAGGUUCGGAAUAACUCAGAGAAAUUUGAGCUAAUACCGGAUAAUGUCUUCGGACCAAAGAUUUAUCGCCUUUGGAUGGGCCCGCGUUGGAUUAGCUAGUUGGUGGGGUAAAGGCCUACCAAGGCGACGAUCCACAGCUGGUCUGAGAGGAUGAUCAGCCACACUGGGACUGAGACACGGCCCAGACUCCUACGGGAGGCAGCAGUGGGGAAUAUUGGAAAAUGGGCGAAAGCCUGAUCCAGCAAUGCCGCGUGAGUGAUGAAGGCCUUAGGGUUGUAAAGCUCUUUUACCCGGGAUGAUAAUGACAGUACCGGGAGAAUAAGCCCCGGCUAACUCCGUG
This 433-nucleotide ribosomal RNA is filed under the name uncultured bacterium. RNAcentral's name for it is "partial 16S ribosomal RNA". It matches the Rfam family "Bacterial small subunit ribosomal RNA", at positions 29 to 507 of the family's 1533-position model. The record is from RNAcentral.